Phrynosoma platyrhinos (Desert horned lizard) is the source of this 73-nucleotide non-coding RNA. NCBI's taxonomy places the organism in Eukaryota, Metazoa, Chordata, Lepidosauria, Squamata, Phrynosomatidae. The record is from the annotation of a GenBank genome assembly.
GACAAUGUGGCACAGUGGUUUCAAUAUUGGACUAGGACUCUCGGAGACCAGGGUUCGAAUCCUUUCUUUGCCA